This 84-nucleotide transfer RNA is filed under the name Geotrichum candidum. RNAcentral's name for it is "tRNA-Thr". It matches the Rfam family "tRNA". Rfam says of the family: Transfer RNA (tRNA) molecules are approximately 80 nucleotides in length. Their secondary structure includes four short double-helical elements and three loops (D, anti-codon, and T loops). Further hydrogen bonds mediate the characteristic L-shaped molecular structure. tRNAs have two regions of fundamental functional importance: the anti-codon, which is responsible for specific mRNA codon recognition, and the 3' end, to which the tRNAs corresponding amino acid is attached (by aminoacyl-tRNA synthetases). tRNAs cope with the degeneracy of the genetic code in two manners: having more than one tRNA (with a specific anti-codon) for a particular amino acid; and 'wobble' base-pairing, i.e. permitting non-standard base-pairing at the 3rd anti-codon position. Lineage: Eukaryota; Fungi; Ascomycota; Dipodascomycetes; Dipodascales; Dipodascaceae. The record is from RNAcentral.
GCCUCUUUAGCUUAGGGGUAGAGCGUUGCACUUGUAUGAGUUUUCGAGAUGCAAAGGUCAGCGGUUCAAUUCCGCUAGGAGGCA